GGAGAGAUGGCCGAGUGGUUGAUAGCUCCGGUCUUGAAAACCGGUAUAGUUAUGAGAACUAUCGAGGGUUCGAAUCCCUCUCUCUCCU
RNAcentral lists this transfer RNA (88 nucleotides) under Corsia dispar. RNAcentral describes it as "tRNA-Ser". It matches the Rfam family "tRNA". From Rfam's summary of the family: Transfer RNA (tRNA) molecules are approximately 80 nucleotides in length. Their secondary structure includes four short double-helical elements and three loops (D, anti-codon, and T loops). Lineage: Eukaryota; Viridiplantae; Streptophyta; Magnoliopsida; Liliales; Corsiaceae. The record is from RNAcentral.